RNAcentral lists this ribosomal RNA (541 nucleotides) under uncultured bacterium. RNAcentral's name for it is "bacterial SSU rRNA". It matches the Rfam family "Bacterial small subunit ribosomal RNA", at positions 777 to 1320 of the family's 1533-position model. The record is from RNAcentral.
AAUAGAUACCCCGGUAGUCCACGCCCUAAACGAUGUCAACUGGUUGUCGGGGAAGCAAUUCCUUGGUAACGAAGCUAACGCGUGAAGUUGACCGCCUGGGGAGUACGGCCGCAAGGUUAAAACUCAAAGGAAUUGACGGGGACCCGCACAAGCGGUGGAUUAUGUGGAUUAAUUCGAUGCAACGCGAAAAACCUUACCUACCCUUGACAUGUACGGAACUUGGCAGAGAUGCCUUGGUGCCCGAAAGGGAGCCGUAACACAGGUGCUGCAUGGCUGUCGUCAGCUCGUGUCGUGAGAUGUUGGAUUAAGUCCCGCAACGAGCGCAACCCUUGUCAUUAGUUGCUACAUUCAGUUGGGCACUCUAAUGAGACUGCCGGUGACAAACCGGAGGAAGGUGGGGAUGACGUCAAGUCCUCAUGGCCCUUAUGGGUAGGGCUUCACACGUAAUACAAUGGCCGGUACAGAGGCGUGCCAACCCGCGAGGGGAGCUAAUCCCAGAAAGCCGGUCGUAGUCCGGAUUGUUCUCUGCAACUCGAGAGCA